Molecule: ribosomal RNA, 1458 nt
Filed under: uncultured organism
Description: SSU rRNA
Rfam family: Bacterial small subunit ribosomal RNA
Source: RNAcentral
AACGCUGGCGGCGUGCCUAAUACAUGCAAGUAGAACGCUGAAGAGAGGAGCUUGCUCUUCUUGGAUGAGUUGCGAACGGGUGAGUAACGCGUAGGUAACCUGCCUUGUAGCGGGGGAUAACUAUUGGAAACGAUAGCUAAUACCGCAUAACAAUGGAUGACACAUGUCAUUUAUUUGAAAGGGGCAAUUGCUCCACUACAAGAUGGACCUGCGUUGUAUUAGCUAGUAGGUGAGGUAACGGCUCACCUAGGCGACGAUACAUAGCCGACCUGAGAGGGUGAUCGGCCACACUGGGACUGAGACACGGCCCAGACUCCUACGGGAGGCAGCAGUAGGGAAUCUUCGGCAAUGGGGGCAACCCUGACCGAGCAACGCCGCGUGAGUGAAGAAGGUUUUCGGAUCGUAAAGCUCUGUUGUAAGUCAAGAACGAGUGUGAGAGUGGAAAGUUCACACUGUGACGGUAGCUUACCAGAAAGGGACGGCUAACUACGUGCCAGCAGCCGCGGUAAUACGUAGGUCCCGAGCGUUGUCCGGAUUUAUUGGGCGUAAAGCGAGCGCAGGCGGUUUGAUAAGUCUGAAGUUAGAGGCUGUGGCUCAACCAUAGUUCGCUUUGGAAACUGUCAAACUUGAGUGCAGAAGGGGGGAGUGGAAUUCCAUGUGUAGCGGUGAAAUGCGUAGAUAUAUGGAGGAACACCGGUGGCGAAAGCGGCUCUCUGGUCUGUAACUGACGCUGAGGCUCGAAAGCGUGGGGAGCGAACAGGAUUAGAUACCCUGGUAGUCCACGCCGUAAACGAUGAGUGCUAGGUGUUGGAUCCUUUCCGGGAUUCAGUGCCGCAGCUAACGCAUUAAGCACUCCGCCUGGGGAGUACGACCGCAAGGUUGAAACUCAAAGGAAUUGACGGGGGCCCGCACAAGCGGUGGAGCAUGUGGUUUAAUUCGAAGCAACGCGAAGAACCUUACCAGGUCUUGACAUCCCGAUGCUAUUUCUAGAGAUAGGAAGUUACUUCGGUACAUCGGUGACAGGUGGUGCAUGGUUGUCGUCAGCUCGUGUCGUGAGAUGUUGGGUUAAGUCCCGCAACGAGCGCAACCCCUAUUGUUAGUUGCCAUCAUUCAGUUGGGCACUCUAGCGAGACUGCCGGUAAUAAACCGGAGGAAGGUGGGGAUGACGUCAAAUCAUCAUGCCCCUUAUGACCUGGGCUACACACGUGCUACAAUGGUUGGUACAACGAGUUGCGAGUCGGUGACGGCAAGCUAAUCUCUUAAAGCCAAUCUCAGUUCGGAUUGUAGGCUGCAACUCGCCUACAUGAAGUCGGAAUCGCUAGUAAUCGCGGAUCAGCACGCCGCGGUGAAUACGUUCCCGGGCCUUGUACACACCGCCCGUCACACCACGAGAGUUUGUAACACCCGAAGUCGGUGAGGUAACCUUUUGGAGCCAGCCGCCUAAGGUGGGAUAGAUAA